GCCCGGGUGGUGGAAUUGGGAUACACGGAAGGCUUAAAACUUUCUGCCGAAAGGCUUGUGGGUUCGAACCCCACCCCGGGCACAA
This 85-nucleotide transfer RNA is filed under the name Candidatus Wildermuthbacteria bacterium GWA1_49_26. Its description in RNAcentral is "tRNA-Leu". It matches the Rfam family "tRNA". From Rfam's summary of the family: Transfer RNA (tRNA) molecules are approximately 80 nucleotides in length. Their secondary structure includes four short double-helical elements and three loops (D, anti-codon, and T loops). RNAcentral also lists the same sequence under 7 other names. Lineage: Bacteria; Candidatus Wildermuthiibacteriota. The record is from RNAcentral.